This 289-nucleotide ribosomal RNA is filed under the name uncultured bacterium. RNAcentral describes it as "partial 16S ribosomal RNA". It matches the Rfam family "Bacterial small subunit ribosomal RNA", at positions 515 to 793 of the family's 1533-position model. The record is from RNAcentral.
CCGCGGUAAUACGGAGGGUGCGAGCGUUAAUCGGAAUUACUGGGCGUAAAGCGCAUGCAGGCGGCCUGUUAAGUCACGAUGUGAAAGCCCGGGGCGUUAACCUCGGAAUUGCAUUUGUAAACUGGCAGGCUAGAGUCUUGUAGAGGGGGUAGGAAGUUUCUAGGUGUAGCGGUGAAAUAGCGUAGAGAUCUCGAAGGAAUACCAGUGGCGAAGGCGGCCCCCUCGGACAAAGACUGACGCUCACGAUGCGAAAGCGUGGGGACGCAAACAGGAUUAGAUACCCUGGUAG